CGCGGGCUUAGGCCUUUUCCCCGAUGAGCAGUGUUUUGUAUGCGAUGUCGCAUGUCUGGACUUGUUCAGUAGUGUUGCAAUUUUUACUCUUCGCUAAUAUCUUGUUGUUGUCGUCUUGUGUUAGACGUUGAGCUUCGUAGCGACGUGCGGUAACGCUACGAUUAUUCCUGAGCGCACCGUGUGUUUAAUGCGUUGUACUCUGUGCGUGCGUGCGUGUGCUUUUUUUCUCCUGAUUUGUGACGUCCUCGUGGCAUGUCUGGACUUGUUUAGCAGUGUUGCAAUUCUUCCCGCUGCUAGUAUGUUGUUGGUGUCAUGUUGUGCUAGCCGCGUGGCGAUGUGAGGUGACCUGAGGUCUUAAGCCUUUUCCCUGCUCACCUAAGGAAAUUUGUGUAUCCCUGUCCUGUGCUUUCUUUACGCAAGGGUAAUGCGGCUGUGUAUGUGGUAUUAUGCAAGAAUUAUCUGGUGGCAGAAAUGGGUGUCUUUUUCUCAGUUUAUUGGCGUGCGCUACGGUUUCUUGCAGUUACAGCUAUUGGAGCACAAAUGCGUGUAAUUUUUCGCGGUUCUUUUCUCCUUUCACUGCUUGUACUCAGAAUGUAGAUGAGGGGAAACAGUCAGCAUCCAGGUAGAGCAGGAGAAAGCCGCUCGGCAGAGGAGAGAGUUCAUGAGAAUGGAAUUUGUUUGUUUUUUGUUAUAUGUUGAGUGUUAGUAUUCGCUUUCCUCGAUAUGUUGAGGAAGUCAGCCGUUAUAGGUAUUUGUGCAGAAAUGCUGGUAUCUGAGUGUGUGGAGUAGAAAUUCCUAUAAAGCACCUCUCCUUGUGCAUUCCUAAGCUGCUGUGUGCGCGCGCGUGCUUCUUUUUCCUGGUUUGCGACGUCAUGAUGGCAUGUUGGGGCUUGUUUAGCAGUGUUGCAAUUUUACCCGCCGCUAUUAUCUUGUUAUCUUGUGUUAGCCGCGUAGCGAUGUCCAGUGACUCUGCUAUUAUUCCUGAGGUCUUAAGCCUUUUCCCUGCUCACCUAAGGAAAUUUGUGUAUCACUGUCCUGUGCUUUCUUUGCGACAAUGCGUCUGUGUAUGUGGCACUAUCAGAUACCAGACAUGAGUGUCUUUUUCUUGGUUUAUUGGCAUAUGCUUCAGGUUUUUUUAAGUCAAGCACAAGUGCGCGCAAUUUUUCGCUGCUCUCUUCCUCAAAUCACCGAUUUUACGCAGAAGAAAGUCGCAUGGUGCAGCUGAGAAGUGGGUUUCUCUGAUUGUUUGAUAGAUGUUGUUAGGAGCUGGGUAUGUUGAGGAAGUCAGCUGUAUCCGUGAAUAAAUGCUUGCAUCUGAACGCAGGAUAGGAAUUCCUGAAGCACGGCACCCUCAGUGUAAAUUAAUUAUUUUGGAUAUGAGUCGGCUUCACUGCAUGACAAGGCUGAAAUGGGAAGAGAGAAAAAAUUGGAGCGCUUCAUUAGUAGCGAUCCAAGUAAUAGGGCAAUUAUAGUUUCCAUAGAAAGUUGAAUUUUAAUGGGCUCCUAAAAUUAUAGUUUAGUUGUAGUUUUUCUAAACUGCAAUGCAAUAAUCAUUAAUAUAGUAUAGGAAUGCCAUCGUGUUCCCGUAAAGGCGUUCUGUCUUGUGCUUUCCCGCCUUUAUGCUCGCAAUGCGCGAAUGGAACUUUGCCCACCCGGCUUCCGCGCGUUUUUGCUCGCAGGUGUAGCCUCAGACAACGAAUGUAUGAGCAUAGAAAGGGUCAUGUAUUACAUAAGCCUGGAGGUGACGUUGAGUGGUCUCACUUAUUAUUUUAAGGAGCAGUGGUAGUUUACUGUAAUUCUAAUGACCAUGAUGAGCCUUUGGGGUGAAAAUCGUUAAUAUGCGGGGUGCUUUUUUGUUGAAUUUUAAUGAGAGAAUCAAUGUCAUUAAGAGUAGGACAAAGGAAAUAAUCUUGCGAUUCAAUAAAUAAUAGGAGUCUUUGCCGGUGUCUUCUUCAGACAGGAUGUGAUGACGUCACGCAGUCUGUAGCAAUGCGUUGACCGUUACUUGAAAAAAGUGUAGCAACAGAAAAAUAGUGUGUAUUGUCCUGGGCAGAUCUAUGAUGAGCACUGUUUUUGAAUAAGAGGAGUGCGUGUGCUUAGAAAUAGUUUGAUGCUGGUUUCCUUCUUUGUUUCUUUUCGCUUUUUCCCCCCUUGUCUGACAAACAUGUGCUGACCAUGCCUGGGCUUGUUCUGACAUGCUUUCCUUCUGCAUGUAGUUUUUUUUCUUUUUGUACAAGGCAUAUUCUUGACGAUAGUGCUGCCUUGAAUGGGAGUAGAGCUGUUCUUAAUAAUUUUGCGAUUCAUUUAGUUCAGAGAGUAACCGCGAGGGGGACAGGUGUGUGACUUUAUGUCUUGCUGAACCUUUUUUUUUUCCUGUACAGUAAGACUUUGGGAAUGAAAUGCUACAAUCUCCUCUUGUCUAUGGUGUUUUUCUGCAAUAGUUCCCUACGCAAUCAUUAUAGUAGAAUAAAGGAAAUAAUCUAGGGAUAGUGAUUCAAUAAAUAACAGGUGCCCUGUCUAGAGCGUACGCGUCCUUGAGCCACGCACCUGCAUGAUGACCGCAUACCGAGAGACUAUUGUUUCAGGUUGACCUUGUCUAGAGGAGCAUUAGUGGAAAAAAACAGGGUAGCCCUGAGACAAUAGGAUGCCGUCACGACCAAUGAGACUGGCCUGCAGGGGGCGCAAGGAUUCACUUCUCUCUUGGACACUGGCGGGUGUAGACACGGUAAUUAUGAUCCUGGCGUUGGCCGUCAGUGGAAGAGCGUAGCUUAGGUGGGGUUCUGUCUGCCUCUGAUGGGGUGUGGAUGUAUGGUUCGUCACUGGUGAAUGGUGUUCGACGAUGCAGGUGGAUUUUGUGACGAGCGGAUUUACAAUGAGGGAAUGCUGUGAACGGGAAAAAUGAUGGUGAGUGCCUUUUUCACUCUGUUCAAGUGUUCGUUUUCCUCUGUUGCCCAACAGUCGUGCGAAUUUGUCCUGACAUGCCCCGAUAUGCAUGCUUUCCUUUGUUAACGCUUUGUAUUUUGUCUUUUUUUUUGGACAAGGAACAUUGUCGUCUUGACGAUAGUGCUGCCCUGAGUUCUGCGUGCGUUGAUUUGUUGAGUGCCUAGUCCUCUUAUUUGUCGUUGAUGGAGUUACGUGUUAGGAUAUUUUGGUCUUUUGCAAGUCUCAUUUAGUAAGACUUUGGAAUUCCCACGAUCAGCUUUCAUGCAUGGUGCUCUUCUGCAAUAGUUUCCUAUUCAAUCGUUAUAGAAGAAUAAAGGAAAUAAUCAUGGGAUAGUGAUUCAAUAAAUAAUAGGUCCCCUGUCUAGAGCGCACGCGUCCUUGAGCCACGCAGGUGCAUGAUGACGUCAUACCGUGGCUUCAUUGUAGAUUGAGCAAAGGAGCAUUAGUGGAAAAAAAACAGUGUAGCCCUGAGACAAUAGGAUGAUGUCUGGACUGCCAGCAGGGGGCGCAGGAAUGCUCUUCUCACUUAGCCUCACGACCAAUGAGAAUGGCCAGCAGGGGGCGCAGGAAUGCUCUUCUCACUUAGCCUCUCGCAGGUGACGGUAGGAGCGCGCAGAGGGCGCUACGAGCGCGCGCAUGCGUAGCACCCGUAGAGUGGCGCUUACGUCAGUCCACCUCUGGCUCUCGUUGGGAGAAGACGUGCGGUCGUUCGCUCCGUCGUCACUUGAUCCCUGGCUGUCGACGAGAGCAGUCGCAUCGGUCUGCGCUCCUACUGUGAGCUGUCCUAACUUGCCCAGACAUGCCGUGAUGACGUCACAGCUGACGUCACAGGAUGUCCGGAACUGGUGCUGCGAUGCUUUGCAACCUGCCUCUGUGCUCCGUCGCUCAGCGACGGUCAGCGGCCUUUCCGGACCGCUUUCUUCAAGAUGGCGCCGUUGAUCUUCAAUUAAAAUCCUUCUCUCCACUCUA
Molecule: long non-coding RNA, 3912 nt
Organism: Ornithodoros turicata
Lineage: Eukaryota; Metazoa; Arthropoda; Arachnida; Ixodida; Argasidae
Exons: 2
Source: RefSeq, a predicted model, not a curated record